RNAcentral lists this long non-coding RNA (250 nucleotides) under Salmo trutta (river trout). Its description in RNAcentral is "lncRNA (ENSSTUG00000001225.1)". Lineage: Eukaryota; Metazoa; Chordata; Actinopteri; Salmoniformes; Salmonidae. The record is from RNAcentral.
CUUUUUUAAAGGCAAAUUGCACUUCCUGAUUUGGCUUUGUUUUUCAUCAAUGCUCAAUAAGAACUACUAGCGGCCAUGACUGAAGCUUGCAGAACACAUUAUCCUGGGGGCCAACAUGUCCUUCUCUGGAGACAAGGAGAUCAUCAAUACCAUCUGGAGGGAUAUAGCUCUGUGGUUGAUGAGAAAGACCGAUGACCUGAGCAAAUCAUGUUGAGUUUGUGGGCUACCAUACUCUGCUACAGACCUGGGG